Long non-coding RNA from Gopherus flavomarginatus (Mexican gopher tortoise), 482 nucleotides. RefSeq lists it as uncharacterized. The record is from RefSeq and is a predicted model, not a curated record. NCBI's taxonomy places the organism in Eukaryota, Metazoa, Chordata, Testudines, Testudinidae. The transcript is spliced from 4 exons.
AGCAAACAAUCAGCGUACCAACUGGAAGAGGCACAAACAUUCGAUCUUCAGGUUUGUACGUGCCAAAGAAAAUGGUUAUCAGAUAUACGUUUAAUGAGGAGCACUGUUUUACGAGCUGUUCAUAUAAGUCAAAUGAUCCAGGUUAUGUUCAGACACAAAUGGACAAACGAUUACAGCAUGUGCUAGCAGACAACUUCUUGACCUCUUUCUUCUGGAGCACCUGAUCAGAAUGACUGACUAGUACACAUCCCCCUGGAUUUUGGGGGAAGGAGAACUCCAGUGUGGUUUUAGACAGUUGGAUGUUUGAUAUUCUCAUCAGGCAGUUCUUUAGCAUUCAGGAGCAGCAGCGAAUGUUGCUGAAAACGUUCCACUGGGAGAUUUCCAUCAAAAAGCUUUUAUCAAGGUGGCUCUGGAUGUUAUCUUGACAGAACUAAAUAAACUAGCAGAGGCAGACAUGGAAGAUCUACUGGAAUAUGGAAGAG